This 837-nucleotide non-coding RNA is filed under the name Pongo abelii (Sumatran orangutan). The record is from RNAcentral. Lineage: Eukaryota; Metazoa; Chordata; Mammalia; Primates; Hominidae.
GUCCUGGGAUGACCUGUGGCGGAAGGUAAACCGAAGGUGACUGCGGUUAACGUCCUCGAUGGGAAUGGCCACCUUCAAGAAUUGAAAAAGAAGUUUAAGCACUGUUAUCAAUAUCGUCCAGCAUAACAGCUUUAUUCAACUGGAGCUAUCAGCUCAGUGCCCUGCCCUGGGUGGAAGGAACUGAGACAGUCACAGGCCUGUUCUCCAGCAGCCUGCCUUCUGAGCAGCACUGGGAGAAAAAUAUGCAACUGUGAAGUUCUCAUGGGAGAAGUCCUGAGCACACUGCAAGGCAUCCUGGGACCACAGUCUCAAGGGUCACAGAGGAAGGAACUUCAGGGCUGAGACCUGCAGGAAGCGAGGGAACUGAGGCCUGUCCUCACCCAGGGGAGGUGGAGCCCUCAGAUGCUGUGAUAUGAAAUUCCAGAUCAUGGGAGGGAGAGUUUGAAGGAAGGAUGAACCACCAAUAGAAAGCGGUCCCCAAAGAGAGCCACAGGCCCUGGCGCUGGCUGCAUCUCCCUACUCACCCGGUUGAUGGGGCCCCUUUCUCUAAUUCACACAAAAGCACCCUGAGCUAACAGCAGCUCCAGACCUGCAGAAUAGGCGGAGCAUAGAGGACUUUUAGGAUGGUGAAGCUACCCAGUGAGAGACUACAAUGGUAAAUAUAUAGUAUUAUUCAUUUGUCGAAACCCACAGAAGGCACAUCAUCAAGAAUGAACACUAAUGUAAACUACGGACUUCACAGGGCGACGAUGUGUCAAUGUGGUUCACCAACCGUAAUCAAUGUACCAAUCUAUGGGGGAUAUUGAUCAUGGGGAGGCAGGGGGAAGGAAAGAGAAA